This 441-nucleotide ribosomal RNA is filed under the name uncultured Rozellomycota. RNAcentral describes it as "SSU rRNA". It matches the Rfam family "Eukaryotic small subunit ribosomal RNA", at positions 554 to 1018 of the family's 1831-position model. Lineage: Eukaryota; Fungi; Rozellomycota. The record is from RNAcentral.
GGCAAGUCUGGUGCCAGCAGCCGCGGUAAUUCCAGCUCCAGUAGCGUAUAUUAAAGUUGUUGCAGUUAAAAGCUCGUAGUUGAACUUCUGUGGCGUGGCUGCGCGUGGCAACACGUGCGGCCUGGCCACAUCCUCCUGAGGAGCUCGUCUUCAUUCACUUGUGGGCGAGUGUUCAGGAACUUUACCUUGAGAAAAUUAGAGUGUUCCAGGCAGGCUUAGCCUGAAUAGUGCAGCAUGGAAUAAUACAAGAGGACUUGGCUCCAGUUGUUGGUGUAUGGCGCUGAGUAAUGAUUAACAGGGAUAGUUGGGGCAUUCGUAUUUUAAUUGUCAGAGGUGAAAUUCUUUAAUUUGUCAAAGACAAACAAAUGCGAAAGCAUUUAUCAAGACUGUUUUCAUUAAUCAAGAACGAAAGUUAGGGGAUCGAAGACGAUUAGAUACCGU